UGAUGUGGUUUAAUUCGAUGCAACGCGAAAACCUUACCCACCUUUGACAUGUACGGAAUCCUUUAGAGAUAGAGGAGUGCUCGAAAGAGAACCGUAACACAGGUGCUGCAUGGCUGUCGUCAGCUCGUGUCGUGAGAUGUUGGGUUAAGUCCCGCAACGAGCGCAACCCUUGUCAUUAGUUGCUACAUUCAGUUGGGCACUCUAAUGAGACUGCCGGUGACAAGCCGGAGGAAGGUGGGGAUGACGUCAAGUCCUCAUGGCCCUUAUAGGUGGGGCUACACACGUCAUACAAUGGCUGGUACAAAGGGUUGCCAACCCGCGAGGGGGAGCCAAUCCCAUAAAGCCAGUCGUAGUCCGGAUCGUAGUCUGCAACUCGACUACGUGAAGUCGGAAUCGCUAGUAAUCGUGGAUCAGCAUGCCACGGUGAAUACGUUCCCGGGCCUU
RNAcentral lists this ribosomal RNA (444 nucleotides) under uncultured Rhodoferax sp. Its description in RNAcentral is "bacterial SSU rRNA". It matches the Rfam family "Bacterial small subunit ribosomal RNA", at positions 937 to 1382 of the family's 1533-position model. Lineage: Bacteria; Pseudomonadati; Pseudomonadota; Betaproteobacteria; Burkholderiales; Comamonadaceae. The record is from RNAcentral.